Molecule: long non-coding RNA, 646 nt
Organism: Hemicordylus capensis (graceful crag lizard)
Lineage: Eukaryota; Metazoa; Chordata; Lepidosauria; Squamata; Cordylidae
Exons: 4
Source: RefSeq, a predicted model, not a curated record
GCAGAGGAGGAAUGAGGAAAACUGAAAUUAGCUCAGGUGGGAUACAGACUCACGAUUUAUAUACCAAGAUUGCUGAGCCUAGUGGAGCUGGAUUUGAGAACACGGAUUUCCUGAGCAAUUCUGAUCAAAUCACUGUGAUUAAACCACAUUUAACAAGGAUAGAUAAUCAGGAUCGUGGUGACUGUGAGAAUGCAGCCUUUGUCAAUUUACAAGGAAAAAACCUCAGGCAACAAAGACUGCUGCUGCUGCUAAAAUACAAACAGCACAAUCCUAGGCAGAAGGAAGACUCUCCAGGCAGAACAAACAUCAGCUGUGGCCAUCCAUAGAUAGAAGUUUGGAGACACAGCAGCUCAGAGCGAUCGGAGAGGUGUCUACAUGUCGGCGGAUGAAGAUAGACUGGGGAACAGAAGGCUUGCAAAAGCACAUAAGGAGAUAGGGACGAGGCUCCCUCCUGAACUCAAAGAGGCUUGGAAUGUUUCAAAAUGAUCUCUGCACAGGCACAAAGCCCUAUAGUGUAAAGCACAGAAGACCACGCAGAAGAACUGGAGUAUCUGCAGGCAUGUGGGAGGUACUGGCAGACUCCAAGAUGACCCACAGAUAUAUCAUUGUUUAAAAAAUAAAAAUAAAAACCUCAGAUGGGGCCUAA